This is a regulatory RNA element of Aneurinibacillus sp. XH2, 135 nucleotides long. It matches the Rfam family "PyrR binding site". Rfam says of the family: This family represents the PyrR binding site and terminator structure. The record is from Rfam. NCBI's taxonomy places the organism in Bacteria, Bacillati, Bacillota, Bacilli, Caryophanales, Paenibacillaceae.
GGAACCUUUAAAUCAGUCCUGUGAGGCUGGCAAGGAGAACGAAUAGGUUUGGCAUAGGGAUGGGGAGUUGUGCGCUCACUCAUUCUUUGUCGAGCACAAAAAAGCUUUCUGCCGCCCGCAGAAAGCUUUUUUUGU